Molecule: ribosomal RNA, 406 nt
Filed under: uncultured bacterium
Lineage: Bacteria
Description: partial 16S ribosomal RNA
Rfam family: Bacterial small subunit ribosomal RNA
Source: RNAcentral
AUUGAACGCUGGCGGCAGGCUUAACACAUGCAAGUCGAGCGAGCGGCGGACGGGUGAGUAAUGUCUGGGAAACUGCCUGAUGGAGGGGGAUAACUACUGGAAACGGUAGCUAAUACCGCAUACCAUCAGAUGUGCCCAGAUGGGAUUAGCUAGUAGGUGGGGUAAUGGCUCACCUAGGCGACGAUCCCUAGCUGGUUUGAGUGGAUGACCAGACACACGGGAGCUGCGGCACGGUCCAGAUUCCUCCGGGAGGCAGCAGUGGGGAAUAUUGCACGAUGGGCGCGAGCCUGAUGCAGACAGGCCGCGUGUGUGAAGAAGGCCUUCGGGUUGUAGAGCACUUUCAGCGGGGAGGCGUUACUCGCAGAAGAAGCACCGGCUAACUCCGUGCCAGCAGCCGCGGUAAUAC